ACAUUUACUUCUCAUUAUUUGCAGAUAAGAAAAAUAUAGCAUGGAGUAUAUUUUUUUUUAUUUCUUGACUGUAUGGUCUAUUACAUCUUUUAUUGUGACAUUUAUAAUGAUAGUCGAUAUAAGGAUUUUUAAUAUCUUUAUAAUAAAUUAGAAACCGAACUAUAUAUCCUCCCUUAGUAUAUGCUCAUGAACAUUAAGCUCGGCCGCAUUUUACCAUUUGAAAAGCAUAUAUUAAAAUGGAAUUCGUUAAAACAAAUUGUUUGUAUAUUGAGAAAUCUAGCAGCCAAAGUCACAGUACGGUACGUAGAAUACAAAGAGAAAAUGGCAAAUUAGUACAAGAGACAAACUUGAUGGUCUUUUCUGUCAUUCUCUAUUUUCCACUUUUAUUUUCUCCCUUUUUCGUAUCAUCUUAUUGGCCCUUAUAAAGUUGAAAAUUAAAGGACCUAUUGGCCCAUUUAUCAAUUAAAUGUAUGGUGUAUUUAAUGUAUGUAUAGUUAGUACUGAUUUUCAUUCUUCUGUGCAAUUAGUGUCCUUACUUUUUCUCUAAUCAUUCUUAUUAUAUUGCUUUUAGCAAAUUUAAUCUAGAUAGAGGGUUUUUAUAAUUCUUUGAAAUCAGUUCCCUGAAUAUUAUAUUCUCUCUGUCUUAUACUUUUCUUUUAAGGUUCACAUCAAACUUUUCGUUAUUAGUUCAACAAAAUUGAAUGUUGAUUAUUAAUUUGUACAUAUUCAUCUCGUAUAUUUAUUUAUAUCUGCUAUAUAUUAGACGUAGCAUAACUGUCCAAACUAUGGAAUGAAUUAUGAAACAUUUUAGAUCAUCUUUUGAUGAGUAUGCGUGUUUAUGCAUAAUCCCUUUUUUUUUACACACCCAGCGUAGAUUUCUGAUCGAAACCCAAACUAAAAAAUAUAGAAAACUAAAACUUCUUAUUAUUUAAGCAGAUGCAUAAUUGCUUUAAUCAUGUGCAUUGUCUUACCAAAAAAAAACACAAAACAAAUGUGCAUUGUUUUCUCUACUAAAGAAAUAUAUUGCAUGUUGACUUAAAAACUCAUAGAUAUUCUUUUAUGUUUAUAAUACUAUUAAAAACAUACUGUAUUAUUGUGUAAGAGAUUUUAUUUUAUUUUUUGGUUAAAAGCGGAUACAGUCAUAUAGUUACUAAAAUAGACGAAUGUUUGUGAAAAAAACUUUGUUUACGACUUUACGAGCAUUUGUAUUUGUCAUGACCAUUUUUUAUGAAAAAAUGUUUGCCAACGAGAGAGAGAUACCAUCACAUAGUCAUAUAUGCAAACUUUAAAAAUGUCUAGUUAAUUAUACGGAGUGUUGUUAUCACAUACGAACACCUUCAAACAAACAUAAGUCAUAUUUACACAAAGGACAAUAAUUUAUGUAGCUAGCGAGAUAUUUUUAAAGUUUAGAUAUCUUUUUUUUAUACUUUUCAAAUAUUGUCUUUAUUGGUAACUUUUACAAAGAUUCAACUUUUACCGUGAUGGUUGAAGAUUUUUAGUUAAUCAAAUUCGUCCUUUUAGUGUAUAGGAACAAUUAUAAAGUUAAGCAAAUUUAUCUCUAGAAGACAUUUUUGAAAACCUUAAAGACAUAAAAAAAAUUUUUUUAGUAAAAUGUGAAGUUAAAUGCUACAUAAUUGUUUAAAGCGAAUUUCAAAAUAUAUUGCGUGGUUGAAUUUAUUCAUUAUAGAAAACAUCAGUUGAAUUUAUUCAUUUUAGAAAACAUUAGUUGUUUCAAAUUGCUUUUAAAGUAUUGUUAAAUAGACCGUUGGAGAGCAGAAAUGUAGAUAUUUUUUAGUAAUGUGUUCUUGAUAAGAUAACGGUUAUUUGUUUUGUUAACUAACUGAUAUAUAAAACUUAAUUCAAACAUUUCAUUCAAAUCAAAAAGAUGACUAAGACACUUUGUGUCGCAAAUUCGAACACGCCUACUAUGGGUUUUGUACGGACGCUUGAUGUAGAUCAUGUUGUGUAAUGAGCAGCAAAUAUCGAAGCACCAUCCUUCCUUCGUAACAAUAUUUGAAAAAUACUCCUGUAUUAAAGAUGAUUAAUUUUAUUUAAAAUAUCGUAAAAUUCGUGUAAAAUAUCCUUUAUGUGGGAGAGUGUGAACCACGUAUUGCAUAGACCAAACAAAAAAAUCAUUGUUAAAUAAUAGCAACAGUUAUGAAUAUGAUUGAGCGUUGAUGCUGCAUGCCUGCAUUCCAUAUGUAAUUUAUCUAUGGAUGUCAUGUCAGUAACGAUUUUCAAUUUAUUUAUUUAAUUGAUUUGAUUAUACAAAGUGUCAUCAUUAAUAUAUUGCGUCUAGAAACUAAUCUCAUAUUCAUGUCGGCUGUGGAUUUUUAAGUUCGACCUAAGUGGCUACUUACGAAUUAAAAAUUAAUUAAAUAUUUACUUUUCUCUAUUAAUAGUUGAUGUUUAUAAAAAUAUUUUUGAGAGCUCAUAACUAUCUUUUGGAGUAGGAAGAAUAUGUUUGCAGGAUGGACUCAUUCUAGUGGAUUCCUUUCUAAAAUUAUAGGCCUAACCUAUGAUAUGUCAUGUAUUCGAUCAUAGAGGAUUUCGAUUGCUGUCGAACAUUUGAGAUGGACUGCUUAGAACUGCUAUCGAUGGCUCAAUGUCCGUCGGAUUGGACAGCAAUUUUCAAUACUUGGGAUAAUUUUUCUUGGUUAAGCAAUUGGUUUAAUUGCUCUGUUUUCCCUAUUUACGUAUAUUAAAUUCUCAAACAGACCGUUUAAUCCUUAAUUUCAAAGAUAUGAUUGUGUUUAAGCCUUACGUAAACUAUUUUCUUACCGAUGUAUACAAAUAAACCAAAUAGUUAAAAUACGGUUGAAAAAAAUAUUUGUUGUCUUUCGUAAAGGUUAGACUAUCGAAUGAAUUAUGUUUCACCACAUGUGUAAAAAAAACACUAUAUAUGUACCAUAUCCUUGCUUUUGUUUUUUAUCAGAGACAAAAAAAUUCUAUCAAAUUUGUGUAUUGUCUAAUAAAAACUGUGUAUUAACUAUUAAGAGGUUAUUGGUAUUAGGUGUAGCAUUAAGAGUAUAAAACUAUAAAUUCACUAUAUUACUAUUUCCAUGAUUGAUUUCAUUGUGUAACUUUGUGGUUAUACUAUUUACUAAAACGUUUUACUAAAUUGUAUGCCCAAUUUCGAGAGAUUAGUCAAACAUGUUGGGAGAACCCUCAUGAGUAUAUGUAUCUACUACUUACUCUAUUAAAAAACUAUGAACACGUUUUAUUAUUAAAUUAUUGUUAACCAAAAAAAUAUUAGUCUCUUUAAUUACUAAUUAAACUGAAACAUGAUGAUGUGAUGAUAUUGAGAGUGACGACGAGAUUAGAUCGAGAUAGAGAAUCCCAUGCCUCUAGGUUCGAAGACCACUUUUAUUCUCCUUAAUCAUUCGUGUUUUUCUUAAUACAAUAUUUUGAAUCAUUUACAAUUACUAAUUUACAUAAUCAAUGUGAGUUUUUUUUUUCCUGCCUAACAGAGUUUUAGUUACUUCUUUAUAACUGCAUUCUGCAGUCAUUUGUGCCAAAACGAGAAGAUAGUCAUCUUGUGACGAGAAAACUAGACUAAUCCAAAAAUAACAAUGAGUAAGUUUGUACUUAG
RNAcentral lists this small RNA (3592 nucleotides) under Arabidopsis thaliana (thale cress). RNAcentral's name for it is "ncRNA (AT4G16748)". The record is from RNAcentral. Lineage: Eukaryota; Viridiplantae; Streptophyta; Magnoliopsida; Brassicales; Brassicaceae.